RNAcentral lists this long non-coding RNA (3992 nucleotides) under Mytilus galloprovincialis (Mediterranean mussel). Lineage: Eukaryota; Metazoa; Mollusca; Bivalvia; Mytilida; Mytilidae. The record is from RNAcentral.
CAGUCUUUUUAGAGGGUGAUUCAGUUCAACUACAUUGCAAAGCCAAUGGAAACCCAAUUCCUUCGUAUUCAUGGACUAAAGGCAAUAGCAGCGAAGAAAUAAUCGUUGACAAGGACAUCCUAGUAAUCAAUAAAGCAAAUAUUUCUGAUAGCGGUUUAUAUACAUGUGACACAAGCAAUGUCGUCGAUGGUACUGCUUACUCAGAAUCUAUAUCGACUUACUUAAACAUAGGUAAGAAUGAAAACAGAAGUUGAUGAAAUAUUCAUAUCUUACUGUAGUGCAAAAGUCACAAUUCAAUGAAACAAACACUCUUGACAUUAAUGUUUUAAUUGAGGGUAAAGAUACAAAUAUUUCUCGCUGUACCAAGGCUCCCUACAUAUAUAUCUAUUUAUAUAUAAAAAAUGUUUAUCGAAGGUAUACAGAUACGGCAUGGGCAAAGUCUAAAUCACAGUAAAUUGUCUGAUGGGCAUAAAAGGCAACAAAUAUCAAUGAUAAAUGAUAUAUGGUCAUCAUUGCUCGGUUAUUUCUUUUACUUGAUAAUUUUAAAAGUGAUUUUAUAUAACCAUCAUUGACAAUAUAUGUCCAACGUAAAGUUAUACAGAGGAAGUCCAUUAAUCAUUAAAAGAAACAAACACUCGACUGAUUAUGACUCAGAUUGUUAAAGUGUAUUGUGAAGGGUUGAAAUAAAAGGGGAAGUAACUCAAUUUCCUCUCAAACAUUUCUGAAAUACACAAACAAUUUGUGUUAAGGUUAAUAUGAAAUUAACAAAGAGUUUGAAAUCAAACCUGUUAAAUGAAGCCAUGCACUAAUCACUUAAUGAAUCGCUUAAUUUGGCAGUUGAACUUUCUGUGAAGGAAUAAUACGCAUUAGUCGGAGUUUAAAGGCUCAAGAAUCCGAAUGAAAACAGGUCAUUUUUCGUAUAUCUGGGUUAUAAAACAAGACGUCGGGUACUUGGGUAGUAAUGAAUUUUACGGUUGUUAUUCGAACGUCGACGUCUGUUUUCGUCUGCUUCUCCUCUGACAUUAUUAACCCAAUGCAAACAAAACUCAUUAAAAGAAGAUUUUUAUCUUAUUUUUAAUAUCAAUUGCCUAUUAUCUUGAAAUCUAUAAUUAAUAGAAAGAAACUUUGCGACACAGAAAUUAUCAGUAUGACAAAAUCUUCAUGUAUGCCUUAAGAGUAAAAUCUUCAAACGACUGCUUAAAAAAUGUGUUGCCCUUACAUAUUAAUUUUUACUUAUUAUUUGCGUGUUUGCCUAUGAAUCUUUUAUAAAUAAUACUUUUUAAAGGGAAUACGUUACAAAAAAUUAUCAGUUAAACAGCACCAAAAAUUAGUCCAACAAUACUGAAAUUGUUAGAAUUAAAAUUGUUUUACCUUAUUUCUUAAAAACACAAAUGAAUAGAGAGAAACCAAAAUGGCAAUUAUAGAAAUCUACAAGUAAUAAUGCAUAUAUGCCUUGGAUCGGCUGACAACUCCGUACCAGAGCACUAUCAAUUGCCUUAAAAUGACCAGUUUAAUCCUGUUGUUCCUAUUUUACAAUUUUCUAGAAAAGUCAAAUAUAUUCAGAAAAUCAAUUAGCAUCGAGACAACAUCAACAAUUAUUUCAACACCGUAAAUUGUGUUAGUCAACUCCUUAUAGUUGGUACUUUCUGCCAAUUUUAUUGAGUCUUACACUGUUACAGCAGUAGAACCGUUAUUAUAUGUUUUGUUUCAUAAUCAUACUGAAAACUAAAAGCAUAGAACCUCACAAAUUGAUGUAAUCAUUGUAUUUGUAUUUAUCAUUUUCUUUUAUAAAGUAACGAUCUCUUCUCGUACCACUAGCAGCCCUUCAGGUUCAGACAACAGAAAAGGUAACUUUAAUGGAAACGUAUAUAUAUGGUUCAAAGUACUGUUUAUAUUAUAUAAAGACAGAAAUAUCAUACCAUGCCAACUGACUUGCGUAUUUGUAAUAUUGAAAGCCGUUACUGCUUUCUUCGGAUUUCGUCUUAUAACUAAGUUAAUAUUUAAGACUGAAACUUUAAUUUUAGCAUAAUUGUUAUGUAAUUUGCAUGUAAUGGAAUACAUUGCUAUAAUUGGCCAAGAUGACUUCAAACUUUUUUUUACCAAUGUAAACAAGAUGGGGAUGAUAAUAACACAUUCCAGUUCGACGUUAAAAAACUAACUUUUGAUUCGCGUUAAUCGUUCAAAUAUACUGACCGACUUUAGAAACGCAACACUGGAUUAAUUUUCUGUUAUUUUUGAAUUAUGUGUCACCGUGAAAAGCGAUGACUGUCUGUUACAAACGCCAAAAUGAUUGUCAGAAAGGUCAACAUAUUCUGUCUGACAUGUUUUGGGGUUUGUUUAACACCUUCUGAUUUUGCAUUUAUUCAACCCAUUAAUUGGUUUUGGCAAUUAUGCAGUUGGAACUUGAGGGCUUUAAAGGUUUUCCUUCAGUCGAUUCUUUGGCAAUUUAGUUGAUGGGAAACAUUUAUGGCAUGAAUAUGUACGCAAUUGCACUCGGAAAUUUAACUAGCACUUGACGUUGUGGCCGUAAACCUGUCUGGCAAAUGACGUUGCGAAAUCAAAUUCUGUUGACGUUUUAUUGUCACUAAACGUUGAUCUGUUCAUUCUGGCCAGCAACAAAUCUUGUCUACUUGUAUCGUUGUCGGAAGGACAGUAAGACAAGUUUCUGAAGUCAUUCAGUAUGGUUGCAGCACGUUUAUGUUUUCAUGAUUGCAGUAUUCUUAAGGGCUAAUUCAGUUUUUAAUUAUUCAGUCUUGGCAAUAUGGAGAUGCAACAUUUUUUAACUGAUUUAAGUGAGGCAAAGGAUUAAAAGAACUGUUUCACAAAGCAAAAAAAAACUGAAACAAUCUUUCAUGGGUCCAAAAUUUCGCUUUAAGAAAUUCGUGCGACUUUAAAAAAUCGGUGUGUUCAAUAACCACAGGUAGGACAGAUUUUAUUUUUUUUUUUUUGUAAAGAGAAAAAAAUAUGAUAAGCAUGAUUAGUAGUUGUAAAAGAAUCAAACAAGAUUUGGUAAAAAAAAAUCAACAAAAUAAGGGUUGCGUUUUUAAAGUCGUUCAGUAUAAAUAAUAAAUACAUCACAUUCAUUUGGAUGAUAUUAGAAGUUUUUGUAGUUCAUUUUUGAUCUGAUAAAAAAUGUAGCAAUAUGCAUGGAGUACAAAUUUUUAAGUUAAUCAAUAGACAUAUUCAUUUGCCAGGACAAUUAAAUGACACAAAUAUACAAUUUACGGUAACCGUUGAACGCGGUUAUAAAGGAUAAAUCGCCCUUUUAAAGGAAUUUAUUGGACCAAAUCAAAUAUCAAAAAGUCCCUAUGACUAUGAGUUUAUACACAAAUAAAUGACUUUAAAAUGGCGUUUCAUUCUAGAAUCAAAGCGUUUUAACUCCAAAAACUCAUAUAAUAUAAUCAUUUCAUUUUAAUGCCACAAUCAUAGAAUGUACACUUAUAUCAAUAUUUCCGUCUGUUAUUCUUUAUUGUCCAAAAACAUGGAUAAUAGGAUUAAACACAAGUUUUGCAACUGAGAACGUCUUCUCCAUGUAUUUUAAUAUUGAACAUAGCACGUGUAGUCAUAGCUGCAUUUUACGAAAACCAAAAGUCAUAUGGGAGUGCUUCGCGAUACUUGUCAACCAAAAAAUAUAACGGAUUCGAAUGAAACAUGCGUGUAAAGUAACUAUUGAACAAGAUAAGGUAAACAUGAUUUUUUUUUCAUACAUACUAAAUUUAUUAAUAAGCAUACCAUGAAACGGCAAAAUAAAAGCUCGGUAAUUGGUAGGAGGAAUAUUUACUGAUCAAACACUUGUAAAGGAAUGUUCGUCUUUAACGGUCAUUUUGUUCUUGACAGGGUCUAAGAUUAUCAGAAGUGAGUUUACCUUCAACUGUUCAAAGAUUGUUUUAUAUUUUUUGCAUUACAGUCGUCAUUGCGGUUAGUGCAGUGUGUGGAUCAAUAAUAUUGGUUCUUUGUGUGAUAGGAUUUUUUUUAAUACGAAACAAGUAUCG